Molecule: ribosomal RNA, 1067 nt
Filed under: Epicoccum nigrum
Lineage: Eukaryota; Fungi; Ascomycota; Dothideomycetes; Pleosporales; Didymellaceae
Description: SSU rRNA
Rfam family: Eukaryotic small subunit ribosomal RNA
Source: RNAcentral
CAUGUCUNAGUAUAAGCAAUUAUACCGUGAAACUGCGAAUGGCUCAUUAAAUCAGUUAUCGUUUAUUUGAUAGUACCUUACUACUUGGAUAACCGUGGUAAUUCUAGAGCUAAUACAUGCUGAAAACCCCAACUUCGGGAGGGGUGUAUUUAUUAGAUAAAAAACCAACGCCCUUCGGGGCUUCUUGGUGAUUCAUGAUAACUUCACGGAUCGCAUGGCCUUGCGCCGGCGACGGUUCAUUCAAAUUUCUGCCCUAUCAACUUUCGAUGGUAAGGUAUUGGCUUACCAUGGUUUCAACGGGUAACGGGGAAUUAGGGUUCGAUUCCGGAGAGGGAGCCUGAGAAACGGCUACCACAUCCAAGGAAGGCAGCAGGCGCGCAAAUUACCCAAUCCCGACACGGGGAGGUAGUGACAAUAAAUACUGAUACAGGGCUCUUUUGGGUCUUGUAAUUGGAAUGAGUACAAUUUAAACCUCUUAACGAGGAACAAUUGGAGGGCAAGUCUGGUGCCAGCAGCCGCGGUAAUUCCAGCUCCAAUAGCGUAUAUUAAAGUUGUUGCAGUUAAAAAGCUCGUAGUUGAAACUUGGGCCUGGCUGGCAGGUCCGCCUCACCGCGUGUACUUGUCCGGCCGGGCCUUUCCUUCUGGAGAACCUCAUGCCCUUCACUGGGUGUGUUGGGGAACCAGGACUUUUACUUUGAAAAAAUUAGAGUGUUCAAAGCAGGCCUUUGCUCGAAUACGUUAGCAUGGAAUAAUAGAAUAGGACGUGCGGUCCUAUUUUGUUGGUUUCUAGGACCGCCGUAAUGAUUAAUAGGGACAGUCGGGGGCAUCAGUAUUCAAUUGUCAGAGGUGAAAUUCUUGGAUUUAUUGAAGACUAACUACUGCGAAAGCAUUUGCCAAGGAUGUUUUCAUUAAUCAGUGAACGAAAGUUAGGGGAUCGAAGACGAUCAGAUACCGUCGUAGUCUUAACCGUAAACUAUGCCGACUAGGGAUCGGGCGAUGUUCUUUUUCUGACUCGCUCGGCACCUUACGAGAAAUNNNNNUUUUUNGGUNNUNGGGGGAGNNUNNNC